This 822-nucleotide ribosomal RNA is filed under the name Klebsiella pneumoniae. RNAcentral's name for it is "partial 23S ribosomal RNA". It matches the Rfam family "Bacterial large subunit ribosomal RNA", at positions 1 to 867 of the family's 2925-position model. Lineage: Bacteria; Pseudomonadati; Pseudomonadota; Gammaproteobacteria; Enterobacterales; Enterobacteriaceae. The record is from RNAcentral. RNAcentral also lists the same sequence under 2 other names.
GGUUAAGCGACUAAGCGUACACGGUGGAUGCCCUGGCAGUCAGAGGCGAUGAAGGACGUGCUAAUCUGCGAAAAGCGUCGGUAAGGUGAUAUGAACCGUUAUAGCCGGCGAUGUCCGAAUGGGGAAACCCAGUGCAAUUCGUUGCACUAUCGUUAACUGAAUACAUAGGUUAACGAGGCGAACCGGGGGAACUGAAACAUCUAAGUACCCCGAGGAAAAGAAAUCAACCGAGAUUCCCCCAGUAGCGGCGAGCGAACGGGGAGCAGCCCAGAGUCUGAAUCAGCUUGUGUGUUAGUGGAACGGUCUGGAAAGUCCGACGGUACAGGGUGAUAGUCCCGUACACCAAAAUGCACAGGUUGUGAACUCGAAGAGUAGGGCGGGACACGUGGUAUCCUGUCUGAAUAUGGGGGGACCAUCCUCCAAGGCUAAAUACUCCUGACUGACCGAUAGUGAACCAGUACCGUGAGGGAAAGGCGAAAAGAACCCCGGCGAGGGGAGUGAAAAAGAACCUGAAACCGUGUACGUACAAGCAGUGGGAGCACCUUCGGGUGUGACUGCGUACCUUUUGUAUAAUGGGUCAGCGACUUAUAUUCUGUAGCAAGGUUAACCGUAUAGGGGAGCCGCAGGGAAACCGAGUCUUAACUGGGCGUUAAGUUGCAGGGUAUAGACCCGAAACCCGGUGAUCUAGCCAUGGGCAGGUUGAAGGUUGGGUAACACUAACUGGAGGACCGAACCGACUAAUGUUGAAAAAUUAGCGGAUGACUUGUGGCUGGGGGUGAAAGGCCAAUCAAACCGGGAGAUAGCUGGUUCUCCCCGAAAGCU